UGACUUUGCUUGAACAUAUGGAGGGAGUU
RNAcentral lists this non-coding RNA (29 nucleotides) under Mus musculus (house mouse). The record is from RNAcentral. Lineage: Eukaryota; Metazoa; Chordata; Mammalia; Rodentia; Muridae.